GACGAACGCUGGCGGCGUGCUUAACACAUGCAAGUCGAACGGGCCUGUCUUCUUUUUUGGGGGUGGGUUGAGUGGCGAACGGGUGAGUAUCACGUGAGUAACCUGCCCUUCGGUCCUGGAUAACCGCUUGAAAGGGCGGCUAAUACGGGGUGGUCCGGUUGGUCCGCAUGGGCUGGUCGGGAUAGAUUCACUGUUUUUGGUGUUUCGGCGGGGGAUGGGCUCGCGGCCUAUCAGCUUGUUGGUGGGGUGAUGGCCUACCAAGGCGGUGACGGGUAGCCGGCCUGAGAGGGUGGGCGGCGACACGGGGACUGAGAUACGGCCCAGAGUCCUGCGGGAGGCAGCAGUGGGGGGUAUUGCACAAGGGGCGGAAGCCUGAUGCAGCGACGUCGCGUGAGGGAUGGAGGCCUUCGGGUUGUGAACCUCUGUUUCCGGUGGUGAAGGCCCUGUCCGUGUGGUGGGGUUGACGGUAGCCGGGGAUGAAGCGCCGGCUAACUACGUG
Molecule: ribosomal RNA, 499 nt
Filed under: uncultured bacterium
Lineage: Bacteria
Description: partial 16S ribosomal RNA
Rfam family: Bacterial small subunit ribosomal RNA
Source: RNAcentral